Molecule: ribosomal RNA, 459 nt
Filed under: uncultured bacterium
Lineage: Bacteria
Description: partial 16S ribosomal RNA
Rfam family: Bacterial small subunit ribosomal RNA
Source: RNAcentral
CCUACGGGUGGCAGCAGUGAGGAAUAUUGGUCAAUGGCCGGAAGCCUGAACCAGCCAAGCCGCGUGAAGGACGAAGGUGCCAAGCGUUGUAAACUUCUUUUGUCAAGGGACAAAAUCAGGCUCGAGAGCCUGACCGAGGGUACUUGAAGAAAAAGCAUCGGCUAACUCCGUGCCAGCAGCCGCGGUAAUACGGAGGAUGCGAGCGUUAUCCGGAUUUAUUGGGUUUAAAGGGUGCGUAGGCGGGCGGUUAAGUCAGCGGUAAAAGCCCGGGGCUCAACCCCGGCGAGCCGUUGAAACUGGCUGUCUUGAGAUGUCGAGAGGUAUGCGGAAUGCGCAGUGUAGCGGUGAAAUGCUUAGAUAUUGCGCAGAACUCCGAUUGCGAAGGCAGCAUACCGGCGGCGAUCUGACGCUGAGGCACGAAAGCGUGGGUAUCGAACAGGAUUAGAUACCCUGGUAGUC